Molecule: ribosomal RNA, 1228 nt
Filed under: metagenome
Description: bacterial LSU rRNA
Rfam family: Bacterial large subunit ribosomal RNA
Source: RNAcentral
CGAAGGAACUCGGCAAAUUGACACCGUAACUUCGGAAGAAGGUGUGCCCUAUUAGUGUGUAGUGAACAACGAAGCAUGAAUGGGUUGCAAAAAAUCGGUGGCUGCGACUGUUUAUUAAAAACACAGCACUCUGCAAACACGAAAGUGGACGUAUAGGGUGUGACGCCUGCCCGGUGCUGGAAGAUUAAAUGAUGGGGUGCAAGCUCUUGAUUGAAGUCCCAGUAAACGGCGGCCGUAACAAUAACGGUCCUAAGGUAGCGAAAUUCCUUGUCGGGUAAGUUCCGACCUGCACGAAUGGCGUAACGAUGGCCACACUGUCUCCUCCUGAGACUCAGCGAAGUUGAAAUGUUUGUGAUGAUGCAAUCUCCCCGCGGAAAGACGGAAAGACCCCAUGAACCUUUACUGUAGCUUUGUAUUGGACUUUGAACAGAUCUGUGUAGUAUAGGUGGGAGGCUUUGAAGCAGGGUCGCUAGAUCUUGUGGAGCCAACGUUGAAAUACCACCCUGGUGUGUUUGAGGUUCUAACCUAGGUCCAUUAUCUGGAUCGGGGACAGUGCAUGGUAGGCAGUUUGACUGGGGCGGUCUCCUCCCAAAGCGUAACGGAGGAGUUCGAAGGUACGCUAGUUACGGUCGGACAUCGUGACGAUAGUGCAAUGGCAUAAGCGUGCUUAACUGCGAGACUGACAAGUCGAGCAGAUGCGAAAGCAGGACAUAGUGAUCCGGUGGUUCUGUAUGGAAGGGCCAUCGCUCAACGGAUAAAAGGUACUCUGGGGAUAACAGGCUGAUACCGCCCAAGAGUUCAUAUCGACGGCGGUGUUUGGCACCUCGAUGUCGGCUCAUCUCAUCCUGGGGCUGUAGCCGGUCCCAAGGGUAUGGCUGUUCGCCAUUUAAAGAGGUACGUGAGCUGGGUUUAAAACGUCGUGAGACAGUUUGGUCCCUAUCUGCCGUGGGCGUUGGAUACUUGACGGAGCCUGCUCCUAGUACGAGAGGACCGGAGUGGACGUACCUCUGGUGUACCGGUUGUCAUGCCAAUGGCAUUGCCGGGUAGCUAUGUACGGAAGAGAUAACCGCUGAAGGCAUCUAAGCGGGAAACUCGUCUGAAGAUUAGGUAUCCCGGGGCCUCGAGCCCCCUGAAGGGUCGUUCAAGACCAGGACGUUGAUAGGUCAGGUGUGGAAGCGCAGUAAUGCGUUAAGCUAACUGAUACUAAUUGCCCGUGAGGCUUGAUCCU